RNAcentral lists this ribosomal RNA (450 nucleotides) under uncultured bacterium. RNAcentral describes it as "partial 16S ribosomal RNA". It matches the Rfam family "Bacterial small subunit ribosomal RNA", at positions 354 to 796 of the family's 1533-position model. The record is from RNAcentral.
GUGGGGAAUAUUGGACAAUGGGCGCAAGCCUGAUCCAGCAAUGCCGCGUGCAGGAAGAAGGCCUUCGGGUUGUAAACUGCUUUUGUACGGAACGAAACGGUCCGGGUUAAUACCCUGGGCUAAUGACGGUACCGUAAGAAUAAGCACCGGCUAACUACGUGCCAGCAGCCGCGGUAAUACGUAGGGUGCAAGCGUUAAUCGGAAUUACUGGGCGUAAAGCGUGCGCAGGCGGUUUUGUAAGACAGGCGUGAAUUCCCCGGGCUCAACCUGAGAAUUGCGCUUGUGACUGCAAGGCUGGAGUGCGGCAGAGGGGGAUGGAAUUCCGCGUGUAGCAGUGAAAUGCGUAGAUAUGCGGAGGAACACCGAUGGCGAAGGCAAUCCCCUGGGCCUGCACUGACGCUCAUGCACGAAAGCGUGGGGAGCAAACAGGAUUAGAUACCCUGGUAGUCC